AGCGAACGCUGGCGGCAGGCUUAACACAUGCCAGUCGAGCGGGCACUUUCGGGUGUCAGCGGCGGACGGGUGCGUAACGCGUGGGAACGUGCCCUCUGGUUCGGAAUAACUCAGGGAAACUUGAGCUAAUACCGGAUACGCCCUUUUGGGGAAAGGCUUGCUGCCGGAGGAUCGGCCCGCGUCUGAUUAGCUAGUUGGUGAGGUAACGGCUCACCAAGGCGACGAUCAGUAGCUGGUCUGAGAGGAUGAUCAGCCACACUGGGACUGAGACACGGCCCAGACUCCUACGGGAGGCAGCAGUGGGGAAUAUUGGACAAUGGGCGCAAGCCUGAUCCAGCCAUGCCGCGUGAGUGAUGAAGGCCUUAGGGUUGUAAAGCUCUUUUAUCCGGGACGAUAAUGACGGUACCGGAGGAAUAAGCCCCGGCUAACUUCGUG
RNAcentral lists this ribosomal RNA (435 nucleotides) under uncultured bacterium. Its description in RNAcentral is "partial 16S ribosomal RNA". It matches the Rfam family "Bacterial small subunit ribosomal RNA", at positions 29 to 507 of the family's 1533-position model. The record is from RNAcentral.